AGCAAAGGCCACAUUGGGAGAUGGUUGUGGCCUUUGUUAAAAGCUCUGCUUAGGAACUGGGUUUCAGUUUAAGUCUCUCUGUUACCAAAUGCAAGUCCACAUGCCUGAUGCACAGUAAGGCCAAACAAACCGAAAUGUCAGAGUUUGGAACAGAGAAAGGUUUAUUGCAGGGCCCAGCAAGAAGAAAGGGUAGCUUAUAUCCCCAGAACCCCUAAACUCCCUAAAGGGUUUCAGCAAAGCAUUCUUUCUGGGGGUGCUGCAUACAGCUUGCAGAAUCCCAGACCAGGGGUUGAGCUAGGCCAUGGCAGCGAAAGCACCAAGUCCUAACCACUAGACCACCAGGAAACUCCCUCAGCAAAGCAUUUUAAAAGGCAGGGAGAGGGAGGGACGUCCCAGGAUAAGGGAUCAGCUCAUGCACAAUACUGUGAUUGGCUGAUAUUGAGAUAACAGGAUGGUUAACAUUAUCAGUCCUUAGGCACCAGUAGGUCUGGGGGUUCUGUGCUCAUAAUCAUCAAAUAGUUAAUUCUUCCGUUUGGUGAUGGGUUUUGGCAUCUGAAAAACUCAGGAAAUACGCAAGAGAUAUUAUUAUCUGGGACUUCAGAGAGGAGCUACAGCAGAGGAUGUGGAGAAGGCCCCAUAAGCUCCUGAUCCAUCUCUAGACAAGACCCUUUUCUCUAAGGGCCAGUUGAAAGGUGAGCUAUAAAAGGAAAAGCCCACAAAGGGCUCUCAAGAGUAGGACCAGAAAGAAAAAUGGGAGCUAUCUCAGACCCUGAGAAACUGUCUCCACCUUUGGUCUACAUACAAGAGACAGGACGAAUGGAUGCUAUUAGCGACCUCUUAUCAAAUUACGGAAACUCGAUGGCCUUGGUGAUUCCUGUCUUCAUAAAUUUGGCUGUGAGUCAAAAGGAGCCGUUCUUGGGAUGGGGCUAACCUAUCACCCUGUCAGCACCCUUCUUCUUCCUGAGACCAUAUGGCAUGAGGGGAAAAAAGGCCCAGGGAGUCCAAUAGUCAUGUUUCUGAGCAGAAACAUCUGGUAUUAAUUGCCAAGAAGGCAACAUAAACACAGCAAUUCUAGAGUGGCUGGUGAAUGAGAUCAAGCAUCUUUAAACAUGAAGAUGAAAAUGGUAGCCCUUCAGAUAGCAGCUCCAACUGACUUAGAGAAAAUACAUGUUCAAAGGAGUUUGAUUUUAGUCAUGCCUGCGUGCUAAGUUGCUUCAGUCAUGUCCAACUCUUUGAGACCCUGUGAACCAUAGCCCACCAGGUUCCUCUGUCCAUGGGAUUCUCCAGGCAAGAAUACUGGAGUGGAUUACCAUGCCUUUCUCCAGCGGAUCUUCCCAACCCA
RNAcentral lists this transfer RNA (1342 nucleotides) under Bos indicus x Bos taurus (hybrid cattle). RNAcentral's name for it is "lncRNA (ENSBIXG00000006855.1)". The record is from RNAcentral. Lineage: Eukaryota; Metazoa; Chordata; Mammalia; Artiodactyla; Bovidae.